GGAUGUGAUGGCCAUCUGGCUGCGACAUCUGUCACCCCAUUCAUCGCCAGGGUUGAUUAGGCUGAUCUGGCUGGCUAGGCAGGUUCCCCUUCCUCCCUCACCGCUCCAAUGUGCGUCCUCCCCGAAGCUGUGCGCUCGGUCGAAGAGGACCACCAUCCCCACUAGAGGAUGGUCUUCGGUCAAGGGUAUACGAGUAGCUGCGCUCCCCCGCUAGAACCUCCAAACAAGCUCUCAAGGUCCACAUACAAGCAAUUGUGCUCUGGUAUAAACACUGUAUUAAAAAACUAAACCAUGCACGAAAAAAUGAAAAACUUA
Unclassified non-coding RNA from Ochotona princeps (American pika), 315 nucleotides. Its record names the gene 7SK. It matches the Rfam family "7SK RNA". Rfam says of the family: 7SK was discovered as an abundant small nuclear RNA in the mid-70s but a possible function has only recently been suggested. Two independent studies have found that 7SK RNA binds the CDK9/cyclin T complex (known as elongation factor P-TEFb). Lineage: Eukaryota; Metazoa; Chordata; Mammalia; Lagomorpha; Ochotonidae. The record is from Ensembl.